GACGAACGCUGGCGGCGUGCCUAACACAUGCAAGUCGAGCGGAGUUACGAGGAGUUUACUUCAAGUAACUUAGCGGCGGACGGGUGAGUAACACGUGGGCAACCUGCCCUAUACUGGGGGAUAGCCAACCGAAAGGUUGAUUAAUACCGCAUAACACUAUGUAAUCGCAUGAUAAUAUAGUCAAAGGAGAAAUCCGGUAUAGGAGGGGCCCGCGUCCCAUUAGCUAGUUGGUGAGGUAGAGGCUCACCAAGGCGACGAUGGGUAGCCGAUCUGAGAGGAUGACCGGCCACAUUGGAACUGAGACACGGUCCAGACUCCUACGGGAGGCAGCAGUGGGGAAUAUUGCGCAAUGGGGGAAACCCUGACGCAGCAACGCCGCGUGGAGGAUGAAGGCCUUCGGGUCGUAAACUCCUGUCUUUUGGGACGAUAAUGACGGUACCAAAGGAGGAAGCCACGGCUAACUACGUGCCAGCCGCCGCAGUAAGAC
This 487-nucleotide ribosomal RNA is filed under the name uncultured bacterium. Its description in RNAcentral is "bacterial SSU rRNA". It matches the Rfam family "Bacterial small subunit ribosomal RNA", at positions 28 to 526 of the family's 1533-position model. The record is from RNAcentral.